UACGUAGGGUGCAAGCGUUAAUCGGAAUUACUGGGCGUAAAGCGUGCGCAGGCGGUUUUGUAAGUCUGACGUGAAAUCCCCGGGCUUAACCUGGGAAUUGCGAUGGAGACUGCAAGGCUUGAAUCUGGCAGAGGGGGGUAGAAUUCCACGUGUAGCAGUGAAAUGCGUAGAGAUGUGGAGGAACACCGAUGGCGAAGGCAGCCCCCUGGGUCAAGAUUGACGCUCAUGCACGAAAGCGUGGGGAGCAAACAGG
RNAcentral lists this ribosomal RNA (253 nucleotides) under uncultured bacterium. RNAcentral's name for it is "partial 16S ribosomal RNA". It matches the Rfam family "Bacterial small subunit ribosomal RNA", at positions 524 to 776 of the family's 1533-position model. The record is from RNAcentral.